CGGCCACAUUGGAACUGAGACACGGUCCAAACUCCUACGGGAGGCAGCAGUGGGGAAUAUUGCACAAUGGGCGAAAGCCUGAUGCAGCAACGCCGCGUGAGUGAUGAAGGCCUUCGGGUCGUAAAACUCUGUCCUCAAGGAAGAUAAUGACGGUACUUGAGGAGGAAGCCCCGGCUAACUACGUGCCAGCAGCCGCGGUAAUACGUAGGGGGCUAGCGUUAUCCGGAUUUACUGGGCGUAAAGGGUGCGUAGGCGGUCUUUCAAGUCAGGAGUGAAAGGCUACGGCUCAACCGUAGUAAGCUCUUGAAACUGGGAGACUUGAGUGCAGGAGAGGAGAGUGGAAUUCCUAGUGUAGCGGUGAAAUGCGUAGAUAUUAGGAGGAACACCAGUUGCGAAGGCGGC
This 402-nucleotide ribosomal RNA is filed under the name Clostridioides difficile. RNAcentral describes it as "bacterial SSU rRNA". It matches the Rfam family "Bacterial small subunit ribosomal RNA", at positions 305 to 725 of the family's 1533-position model. The record is from RNAcentral. Lineage: Bacteria; Bacillati; Bacillota; Clostridia; Peptostreptococcales; Peptostreptococcaceae.